UACGUAGGGGGCAAGCGUUGUCCGGAAUCAUUGGGCGUAAAGCGCGCGUAGGCGGCCUCGUAAGUCCGCUGUGAAAGUCAAAGGCUCAACCUUUGAAUGCCGGUGGAUACUGCGAGGCUAGAGUCCGGAAGAGGCGAGUGGAACUCCUGGUGUAGCGGUGGAAUGCGCAGAUAUCAGGAAGAACACCAACGGCGAAGGCAGCUCGCUGGGACGGUACUGACGCUAAGGCGCGAAAGCGUGGGGAGCGAACAGG
RNAcentral lists this ribosomal RNA (253 nucleotides) under uncultured bacterium. RNAcentral's name for it is "partial 16S ribosomal RNA". It matches the Rfam family "Bacterial small subunit ribosomal RNA", at positions 524 to 776 of the family's 1533-position model. The record is from RNAcentral.